AUGAGUUGUCCUAAAGUCAAUAAGCACAGUAGCAGAAUCAAACUAAAUGUGUGAGAUUAGUUAAGGUGUGUGUAGAUUGGCUCAAACGUUUUUAUGGUA
This is a long non-coding RNA of Cucurbita maxima (winter squash), 99 nucleotides long. RefSeq lists it as uncharacterized. The record is from RefSeq and is a predicted model, not a curated record. The transcript is spliced from 2 exons. Lineage: Eukaryota; Viridiplantae; Streptophyta; Magnoliopsida; Cucurbitales; Cucurbitaceae.